Molecule: non-coding RNA, 31468 nt
Organism: Callithrix jacchus (white-tufted-ear marmoset)
Lineage: Eukaryota; Metazoa; Chordata; Mammalia; Primates; Cebidae
Source: RefSeq, a predicted model, not a curated record
CCCCACCACAGAAAUACCUAUGACUGUAUCAAAGAUGGAAAAACCAAAUGCUCUGGUAUUCCUUCCAAUCUGGGACGAUACACUUAGCAAAAAUUAUAUCUGAAAUCUCCUUGCCCUUUUCUGUGACUUCUCUAGCUCUCCAUUACUUUCUUCUCCUCUUUUCUGGGCAAUACUCCAUCCUUGCCUCCAAGCUCCCUAGAACCUAGGUAUCAUAUCUUCAUCUCUCUCUCCUACCAGAAUCUUCCCUUUCUUCUGUCUUUUCUCCCAGGAGACUCAUGUUCAGCCCUGUAGCCUAUCCGCCCUUCUCAGCCCAGUGCUCUCCCCUCAGAGUGCAGUGCAGCCAUCUGCUCAGGAACCUGUGCUGAUGGGGUGGCAGUUGCUAAUGAGUUACUUGUUCAUCUCCUGGGUAACCUGUUUGCUUUUUAACUGGAGUGUUCUAGGGCCAGUGCCUGUGAGGGGAAGAGCUUUAGAAAGUCAGCCUGAGGGAGGGGCACUGUGUGGAGGGAAUUUCUUGGUCAAGUCCAAAGUUGAUCUGUCUAGUAUUUUCCAGGUCUCUGAAGCUCCAUCUGCCUCCAGAACUGAAAUCAAAGGUGAGGCAUAACCACCAGCUUGGCCUGAAUUUGAUACGUGUUUCAGAAGAGAGGACGUUCUUGCCACCCUUCUGUUACUCAGGCGGUCUCAAUCAGCUACCUCCUUGGGGUUAUAAUUCUGUUGGCUUUUUUUCCCAGUUGGUCCAGUGUUAUAAAUAAAAUUUCAGUGCUGCAAAAGAAAUAGCACUUGAAGAUAAAUCCUCUCAGCAAGGCAGUUUACUUCUAUAGAAGGGUGCAGCUCAUGGAUGGAACAAUGGUGACUGCACAUUUGGACAAGGGAGGGAAAGGGGUACUUAUGCCUGAUGGCGGUUGCCUCUACUGCUCUGUCAUUCCCCUAUUGGCUAGGGUUAGACCACACAAAUUAAUCCUGAUUGGCUACUUUAAAAAGAGCAGAGGUCCGAGCUGGAGUGGCAGGGUGGGUGGUUUGGUGGGAAGGGUGGUUAUGGGUGGGUCAGAGCAGGUAGCCAGGGGUCACGUAGGUCAAAGAAGGUGACCAGAGCAGGUGACUGGGAUGAAUCAGGAUGGAGCCUGGGGGCUGGGGGAACAAAUGUGAACUACUGAUUAGAACUGGUGGAGAAGUUGUUUACUGGAACUACAAGGAAGUUAAACUUUAAAACAGAGAAUUAAAGAAUAAGAGAGCUGAACAUACCUACAUACAGAUUCUUUGAAGAGAAACUUCGGGUUCACUAUAUCUAAAACCAGGAAGGGAAAUGACAUGAUGAAGGCAGGAAGACAGGAAUACUUUCCUCUGCUUUUCCCAUGAUCUUUGCAUGUGAAUGGAAACCUGUUUACCGUCACUUAUUACCACCCGCCUCUGCCCCUUGGUAUUUUGGCCUCAUUUACAGUGGGGAUUAACAUGGUCUAGAGGCAUUUUGCUGGGUUCCUUUGUCAUAAUCUAAAAAUAAACAAAGCCCAAAGGAUCCAUUUCUUCUUCCCAUUAAUUUGAAGAAAGGCAGAUGGUGCCCAAUAACCUGAUUUGAAUUGCCAAUAAAGCUCAUCAUCUUUUUACUAGGCUUGCCAUUAAAUUUUAACAGAGGGUGUCAGUGGUGCAGAAUGAGCUCCAAGAAAGAUUAUUCAGGGCCCUUGGGGUGGAAGAGUGAACAGUCAGUCUGUGUCCACACAGCCUCCCUGAGGAGGAGGAGAUUUGGGGCCAUGAGAGAGGUUGGGGAGGGUUCUGAACUGUUGAGACUGAAGGGAAAAUGUGGCAAAAAGGGGUGAGCUGGCAGGAAAGUGCUAUUUUUCAAGAAGUUUGACACCCAUCUUAUAAAUUUGAGGGCACCAACCAUGUCUCACCUAUUGCUACUUUCCCACUAAAAUUAGGUGUUUGGAGGGCAGUCACUAAAGGCUGGCUGAAGGAGCGAUGAAAACUUUUGAUGGAUGGAAAGCAUAAAUCACAGUGAAGAGGGAAGAAAAUACAACCAAGAGGCACUAAACUACAUGGAUAUAAGCUUGAAGCUGCAGGUGGCCGUAAACUCUUGAGGAGUUCCUGGGCCUGAAAACGAAGGCAACGUAAAGGAAAACAAAAGUGAGACAGAGAGAGAGAGAGAAAUUCCUUGAACAUGGUGCCUGAAGGUAGAUUUGCCCCUGGAUGUUUCAGUCCAAUGAGCCAGUAAAUUCCCUCUUUUGCUUAAGUUGAUUUUAAUUGAGUUUUGUCACUUGCAGUCAGAAAUGUCCUAACUAACACAGUCACCUUGAUACUCAGGGUGACAGGCCGAGAGAGGAGAAAGAGACACCUGCAAUAUCGGGAGCAAAUUCAGUGAGCAAUAGCAUAGAACCUGUUGGGUUUGGAUAGUCCCAACAAAUAAAGGAGAAGAGGAAUUAGACAUCUUGCUCCAACUUUAGCAGUAGUACUUUGUUACAGCUAAAAUACAGCUGAGCAGGUAAUGCUUGACCUAUUAUAGUCAUAAUAACUGUGGUGGGGAGGGUUUGGGAAAGCAGAAUCCUCAGGCAAUUGGCAUCAGAGUCAUCCAGGGAGGUUUCUUUUCUAAAAAAAUUUAGAUUCUAGGGCUUUACCCAGACCUGUUAUUCAGAAUUUGUGAAUAGAGGCCUGGAGUUUGCUUUCCUAAAAGAUUCCUAGGGUAUAGAGUUUGAGGUUCACUCUCAUAGUAAUGAGAGCUCAGACUUAGAAAUUAGAAGCUUUGGCUUUAAGUCUAGUCUCUGCCACUUACUACCUGUAUGACCUUGGGCUAAUAACCUUCAGUGUCAGCUUUUUCAGCAGUUAAUAAUGCCUCAUAGGGUUGCGAGAAUAAGUAAGAAAAUGUAUUCAUGUAAAGUAUUUACCCUGCUGCUUUUUUAUACGGGAAAAUUUUAGUGACUAUGGUUAACAAAACCUACAACUAUAAAAGAAGGGAGCAGACUUAAGAAAAUGCAAAUGGAACAUAUAAGCAUUGCGUUUGAAUCGUGGUGCUCCUCGGAAUCUGUGACGUAGCGCGCAUAGUGGUUUAACACUGGAGUCUCUAGAGUAGGAAUGUCUGAAUCAAAUUCUGGUUUUGCCACUUACCAGCUGUAUGACCACUACUGAGCUGCUUGUGCCUUUGUUUUGUUCAUCUGUAAAAUGGGAUAAUACUGGUACUUAAUUCACCACUUUUUUGGGGUAAUGAUAAAAUAAGAUAAUAAAUGAGAAGGGCAUGGAUGAUACUAGUUUUAUUAUGAUCGUUUUCUUCUUUUCCAAUUACAUUAAUUCUUUUCCCUUGUGGUUAACCCCCACAUAGCCUUAUUCCUCUGAGACCAUCUCCCAGUGGCCCCUGCCCUUUUUGUUAAAUAAAGAACUUAGAUUCAGAGAGGGCCUCCACGUCCAGCCUUGAACUUGAGUUGAAUCUCCCUAGAGAGGGCCCCAGGCUGGGGAAUGGUGGAGAUGCCUGCUUUGUGCUAUGGAGCCCUGGUUUUUAUGCUGACAGCCUACAUGCUUGGAGAAGUGUCUGGAACUUCAAGUUGACAUUUGCAAAGUGUCAAAGCCCUUGAGCAUUUCUUUUCUAACCAAGCCCUAGGAAACCUCAGGGUCCAAUGUAAAGCAAAUGUAGAAAAAGCAACUGUCUUUGGGCUGUAAGUCAUGCUGAUGGAUAUAGCACUUCAGUCCUGCCUACUAUAUCCUUGUAGGUAUUGAACAUUUAAGGAUCUGUUCAAUACAACUUUUCAAGUGAAAACAAAAAUAUCAGCAAUCCUCAUAACAACAAUAUAAUUGCAGGAGCAAAAUGGCGAUGUUUGGCGGUGCUGCAAAAGUGCUUGGAAGAAUUUGAGGAAAUAUCUGUUCCUGAAAUACAAGUUGUGCCUCAUCUUCCUCAUUUAUUAAAUUAAAACAUAAUCUUUAAUGUUGCUUUUAAUCUGGAUUAUUUAAGAUUCUUAGAUUCAAGAUUCUAUGACGUUAUCCAAAGGCACUUCUCUUAGGAAGUCUCUCUGUUCCAGCUGAUUUCCAACAGUGGGAGGUGGGAUGGGUGACAUCUGCGGAUAAAACCAGGCUGUACUGUUGAACAGUUGGCAAAUCCAAGUGAUUCUCUUCUCCCUGGAAUGGGUGCAGGGUUGCAUAUUAAUUUACAAUUACUCAUAAAGUAGACAGCAAAGGCUUCUCUUUUGUCAACACUUAGACAUACAAAUUAGGUAAUAUUGAAUGGGCAAUGAAUAUUUCAUUUCCACCUUGCCUCCUGGUGCCAAUCACUAUAAAUGAGGCUAGAUUAAUAUCCGAAGUGACUCACACUCUGUUAGGUAUCCAAGUCUAGGCCCCUCAGACUCACUCUAUUUUGACCUUAAUUUGUCAGCUGAAUUUUGUUAGUGACUAUGCAAGACAGAAAGAAACAGGACCACAUAGUUUACCUCAACUUUAUACUGGACAUGAACUGCAGUGUUUCAAAGUGAUCUUUGGUUCUGAUAAUCUGGCAGAGCAAACUUGUAGAAAGGAUGAAUAAAAAAUAGAAAUAGAAUUUUUAAAAAUACUGUGGCAUAAAAGAAAAAAAUCCCCAGGUACAAGAAUUGAAGAGAGAAAUCAAAGCCAGGACAGUAAUGGAGAGUUGGUAUUUCAGCAAAAUUUUCUAACCCAGAUAUAAGCCCUAAGAGCUGAAGGUUGGGUAUUUAACACCCACUGGAGUACAGGAAAUGUGGCCUCAAGCCCUUGCUAGGUAGGGAAAAUAGAACUGAGCCUCAGCAUAAAGCCAUGAGCCUUGAAACGAUGCAUUGUCUGUUGGAUGGUGACUACAAAAACUGCACAUCUGAGUCCAGGAAAGAAGCAAGUAAGCUUGCCGCCCAUCUAGAACCCCAGUUUAAAAAAAGAAAAAGAAAAAGCUGUGUCCAAAAAAUCAAAACCCCAGGUCUGGGCCACAUAUGGGCAUGGUGUCUAAAUGUAUACCAGUGAUAAGUUAGCACAGAUUGCCUGUGUCUGUGAAAACCCUAGGAUAUAAUAGGGGCAAUUGUGAAACAGCAUUGUUGGGACAUUUUUACAAAUCAGGUAAUGAAGGAUUCAGAGCCGGAGAUUUACCAUCAUAAGGAAGAAUUACAAGAUGCCUCAAAAGGAUGAUUAGCACCUUAAAGAUUCAAAAUAAUAGACUUAUCUUUAUGAGACUAUAAAAUAAGAGCACUUUAAAUUAUUAAAGAUAGAAGAAGUAGUAUGAUACAAAAAGCAGAAAAUUGAAAAGAAAUAUAUAAAUAGUACUUAGUUUGCCCAGCACUGAGGGAUUUCUUAGGAGACAAAAUUCUCAGUACUAAGGGACACUCUCAGGCAAAGCAAGUGGUGGCCAGGUUACUUCCACUGGGUAACCAAAGAGAUUGAAAUGAAGAGACUGUUUACAAACAUGUGGACAGAGUUUGGGGAAACCAGCAAGGAACAAACAAUAUAACAACAGGGAGCCAUUACUACCGAACGUGCGACAGAGGAGAGUGCGGAGACCCACAUCGUGAGCUUUUGUUCCCUCACUAUCCUCAAGUCUGAAGGGGCAAGGAGACGGUGCCGUUACUGAAACUCAGAGAAAUAAGCUCCAUGGAGCAGCCCUUAAUGGAAAGAAAUGGGAAAGAAGCAAGGAGAAUAAGCACACCAUUUUCACUCUCCUCCUGCCUUCCCUCUGAACGAGUUGGGAGCUCCCGGUGGUGAGCCUCAGCUAAAAGUCAGAAAGCAAAGAAGUUCUUUGACCUAGUCUACAUAGGCCAGCCUCCUGAAACACAGGUCAAGAAGGGUGCAGAAUGGAUCUGGAAGGGCAAAAGAAAAAUAAUCAGGACAAAGGCACAAUGAAAUUGACCUUCUGAAUACCUAUAUAUAAAACCUUGCAAGUUAAAGCAGGUGGUGCAAUACCAGAAUUAGGAGGAAAAUACCAGGAAGUUAGAAGAGCUGAGCCCUGGUGGCACCUUUGGUAUUUACAAUCAGUGUGACUUUGAGAAAGUAUCUCUGUUUACUCAAACUUCUUUAUUAUUAAUUAAGAAUGAGGCUGGGCAUGGUUGUUCAUGCCUGUAAUACUAGUACUUUGGGAGGUCGAGGAAGGUGGAUUACUUGAGCUCAGGAGUUUGAGACCAGCCUGACAAGAUCCCAUCUCUACACACACACACACACAAAAUUAGCCAGACCUGGUGGCACACACCUGUAGUCCCAACUACUUGGGGGGCUGAGAUAGGAGAACUGGAUGCGCCUCUGGAGAUCAAGGCUCCAGUGAACCAUGAUUGUGCCGCUGCACUCCAGCCUGGGUGACAGAGUGAGAUGCUGUCUCAAAAAAAAAAAAAAAAAAAAAAACAGUGAAAUUAUUCUAGAACAGAAGUCUCACACUGGAAACCCGUGGAUCAAAUCUUAGUGGAGUUGUAUAUUGUUUAGUCUAUAGAAUGUUUUAGACUAAAUCUGAAUAAUUCAAUAACAUUGAAAAAUUCAGGAAAAUUCAUAAAAUAAUGUGGAUUUCUAGCUUUCUUUGUGUUUGGUUUGGCAACAAUUGUCUAAAGGCAAGACCCUCAUUCCCAGUUCUACACCGACCAUCCCUCCUGGCUCAUUCCACUUAUUUGUUACCUGUGUACUCCCUGUAGGAAUUGGAAUUUGCAACCUUGAAUAGCUCUUUCAGCUUUCAGGUUUAACAAUCUGUGAAAUUUAAGGCACCACUGUAGUUUCUGCCUAUGAACAAGGGCUUUCUGAGUUUUUAAUUGAGGUGGAUUGGGAAGUCGGCAGGUGGCUGUUUUUGCAUAUCUUCCUUUACAUCUUAAACACAGCACAUAUGCAGUUUUAUGAAGCAUAUGGUUUUCCAUGUGCAUGACUACACUUUGUUGAUUUUUCCUUUUCCUAAGUUCUCCAAAAGCCCAGUAGAAUAAACACAAGCUGCCACUUGGGAAAACAAUUCUGAAGAAAAGCCCAGCUGGGGAAGAAAAAGUAAGGCAAUCCAAAAAGCUGCCAAGUGACCACAUGUUUAGUGUAAGUUUUUGCAGUUCACAAAAACCAUGACUCUUUUCUCCCCGUGGCAUGAUAUAUGAUGAGCAUGUUGUAAAACAGCUCAUGGUGACAUUGCCUUUGCUCUUUGGGCUUGUGGCAGGGAAUGGGUAAAAAAGGCAAAUUCAACCUCUGGCAGACCUUGAUUGGAAACGUGAAUAUUUUACCUGGUGAUGAGCCCUGGGUUUUAAAUCAGCCGACAGCCAUGACAAGAGAUGACAGAAAAAAGGGGGAAUUUUUUCCAGGCUUGGAGAAAGAUAAAUCUGAAAAGGAGUUUUUCCCUGUAGACCACCUCUGCUUAUGAGAUGCUCACAGUGAGUUGUCAGAACAGAGAACCUUGAGGUAAGCAUUAAUAAGAAUUGCACUAACUUUCCCUGAGGGACCAAGAAACUGGGAUUCUCUAGCCAACAUUUUGUCCUGAGAACCACUACUCAUCCAGGUCCAUGGAGGAUUUUCCCCUCAGCCCAUCCCUCUGGGCUUACCUUGUACAUAGUUUCAGCUACUGCUGGAAAAUAACUCAGCCAAAGAAUUAGUGUUGAAAUAGAUGCUCCUAACUCCUUUGCUAGAAUAAACAAGGAUUGUGGGUUGAAUAUAAAUUAUUAAAAUGUGUUAACUUUCUUCUGGACAAGUCUGGUGCUAGUUAUCACCUUUGCCUCCAGGAAAGGUAAAUGUGUUGUGUGUGCUGUGGGCUGAACUGGCACCUGACAAAAUUGUUAAGUAGCAAAGCUUGUCUUGAGGACUCCUCUUCUAGAACAUCCCCUAUUCCCCUCUGGAGUCUCUUUUGCCACCCACCAUUUCCACUCCUGUGUCUUUCUGAACACCUGACACCUCCUAUUAGCUUUAUGUGCCUGUCUCUUCUCCAAGCGCAGCUGUCCCUCAGCCCCCACCAAGGCUCCCUUCUCCUCUGUGCCACUACACCAAUAAGAUUUCCUGAUGGGUAGGAUAUAAUUUAGUAUCCAAAACUGGACAAUUUUGAGAGUAAAAGAGUGCUGAACUAUUAAAAAUAGUCAUAGUCUUUUUAGGCCACUAUAAUAAAAUAGUAUGGACUUAGUAGCUUAUAAGCAACAGACAUGUAUUUCUUAUAGGUCUGGGGCCUGGGAAGUCUAAGAUUAAUAUGGUGGCAGAUACAGUGUCUGGUGAGGGCCUGCUUUCUGAUCAUAGAUGGUGCCUCCUCCCUGAGUCCUCACAUGGUGGAAGGGGCAAACAAGCCCCCUUGGGCCUCUUUUAUAAGGAAACAAUCCCAUUCAUGAGGGUGGAACCUCACAAAAUGCCCCACCUUCUAAUACUAUCACUUUGGGGGCUAGAAUUUCAACCUAUGAAUUUUUAGAGGGACAUAAACUUCACAGCAUGUCAUUAUACCUACAUGACAACAUUUUAGUCUACCCCCCCAGAGUAUAUUUGUAUUUCCACAGGGAUCUUCUAAUGAUAUUUUGUUUUGACCUAGAAAAAGACUCCUAAGGUUGAAGAUUUUGAUGUUCUGACAUAAUCACAGCAAAAGCCAUCUCCCAUGUAACCACAUGUUUCAGGAGAAGCUGACCCUACAGCCAACUCCACUGGUAUGAGGUUGAAACAAUCUUUGAUGGCCAAGUGAAGAGAUGGAAAAAGCAGGAUUCAGGAUAACUUCGGAAUUAUCGGAUGAGUAAAUUGGAACAUGGUGGCCAUGUGGCCUGCUGCCCCUGUGUACCACUUGGAGACCAGCCUGGCAUGGAAAUGACCAGAUGUUGGAAGCUGAGCUGUUGGUGAGUGAAAUGAAUAAGUUAGCUGUUCCACUUCCCAUCUGCAUGGACAGCUUCUGCAUUGCAAAACUACCGGUGCUUGUCAUUUCACAUGGCAGCAGUUAAUCUCUUAACCCCUUCCUAAACUUGGCAUUGGAAAGCCCUCGAUGGCCAAUUAGGCUGUGUGGGUAUAUGUACACUAGUGCCCAUCUGCCACAGGAAUAGAAGCAGUGGCACAAUUCAGAUCACUACCAAGAUACACAGAUGCUCCUGGAUCUGAGGAAGUGACCUAUAGAAAAUGAAGAAUGACCAGAUAAAGGCAAUAAGAAUGGAAGUAGAGGGGCUUAUUAAGCAGCUCUGGAUAAGCAGAGAAAGGACGAUGGUUCUAUAGGUAGAAUUUGCCAAAAAUGGGCUUGUUUCACAGGUUAUUUGAACACAGAAGCAGGGCUUUUUUCUCUCUCCAUUCAUUAAUUAUUUUUCUGAGUAGACUAAUAAUACAUGCUUUUUGUGAAACAGUUGAAAAGUGGAAGAAAGUAUAAGAAAAAAAUUAAAAUCACCUAUACACUUAUCUCCUCAUAUUUCAGUAUAUCUGUUCAAGCCUCUUUUUCUAGUUUUGUGAUCAUUUUUUUCAGUCAACAAAUAUUUAUUUCCACAAAUAUUUAAUGCCUUCUGUAUGUGUCAGACACCAUGCCAGGCACUAAGAAUAUACUUGUGUUCAAUAAUUUGCAUAAUUCCUUAUCUCCUAGAACUUUGAGUCUAACAGAAGUGACAUAUGAACACACAACUGCAUUAAGAAUUGUUUAAUCUCAAAUUUGAAAACCUCAGCAAAGAACAAGUAUGAAGUCUUGGAAGAAUGGGGCAUCCUAACCUAUCCUGGAUGUAGGGAAUUCACCUAAAAGAAAAACUCUGAAGGUGAGACUGGAAUAGUGAGAAACUGCUGGCCAGAGGGCAAUGUGCUGGUCCUAGAAGGGUAGAGUAGGGCAGGCUGGGAAUAGAAAGGAAAAUUGCUGGUUGGGGAAUAGCUUGCCUGAGGUCUUAAGGAGGAGACAGUGACUAGUUGGGGGUGAAGUGGCUUUGUGGAAAUUAGGAAGAAAAAUAGGAAGCAGAUACUACAGGACAAGUAUUGACAAGCAACAGCCCAGGGGCCAAAUCCAGCACCCCACCUGUUUUUGUGAAUAAAAUUUUAUUGGAACAGAGCCACACCCAUUGAUUUAUAUAAUGUCUGUGGUUGUUUUCACACCACACUGGCAGGGAUGAAUAGUUGUUUCAGAGACUGUAGGGUCCACAAAGCUUAAAGGAUGUACUAUCUGACCUUUCCCAGAAAAUUUUGCUGACCCCUGCUAUGGGGUUUUGUGGUUGAGCAUAUGGUGGAAUUAUUUUACCACAAGAACAAUGGGAAAACUUUGAGAGGAAAGCAAGGAAGAAAUCAUCAGAGUUUUCUUUUAAAAGAACUCUAGCUACAGAAGUGUGUAGAGAUUAGAACUGGAGAUUCUGGAUGGAUAUCGGACACCUAAGAGUAUCCAGGAUACAGGGGUUGGUGGUUUGGACUCAGAUUGUGUCAAGUGAGCACAGGAAAAAGAGACAGAUUUGAGGUCUCUUUAGCAUUUGUAUGGGACAGGACUUGGUGGCUGAUUGGGAAGGGGAAGCAAGGAUAGAGAGGUGUUCAGGAACACCCGGGUUUCUGCCUGGUGCAUCUGCAUGGAUGAGGGUAUCAUCAACCACACUGGGAGCUGUGGAGGAGAAGCAAGAUUGAGAGGGAAAGUCCGGAGCUUUUAGCACCUGUCUAGUUCAAUCAGAAUGGGUAAUAUAAUAAAUCCCUAUUAAUGGACAUGUAGAUUGUUUCUAUUAUUUUUCUUUUUCUUUUUUUUUUUUUGAGACGGAGUUUCACUCUCGUGACCCAGGCUGGAGUGCAAUGGCGCAAUCUCGGCUCACCGCAACCUCCGCCUCCCGGGUUCAGGCAAUUCUCCUGCCUCAGCCUCCCGAGUAGCUGGGAUUACAGGCAAGCGCCACCAUGCCCAGCUAAUUUUUUGUAUUUUUAGUAGAGACGGGGUCUCACCAUGUUGACCAAGAUGGUCUCAAUCUCUUGACCUCGUGAUUCACCCGCCUCGGCCUCCCAAAGUGCUGGGAUUACAGGCUUGAGCCACCGUGCCCGGCCCUAUUAUUUUUCUUUUUAAAAUAGUGCUGUGAUGCAGUAAAAGGAAUAGUCAGAAGAGUAAACAGGCAACCCACAGAGUGAGGGAAAACUUUACAAUCUAUACACCUAACAAGGAACUAAUAUCCAGAAUCUACAAUGAACUCGAACAAAUCAGUAAGAAAACAACCAACAAUCCCAUCAAGAAGUGGGCUAAGAACAUGAAUAGGCAAACCUCAAAUGAAGAUAUGCAAAUGGCCAACCAAUAAAUGAAUAAAGUGCUCAAAAUCACUAAUGAUCAGGGAAAUGCAAAUCAAAAGCACAAUGUGAUACCCCCUAAUUCCUGCAAGAAUGGCCGUAAUAAAAAAAUCAAAAAACAAUAGAUGUUGAUAUGGAGACGAUGAACAGGGGACACUUCUACACUGCUGAUGGGAAUGUAAACUAGUACAACCACUAUGGAAAGCACUGGAGAUUCCUUAAAGAACUAGAAGUAGAACUACCAUUUGACUCAGCAAUCCCACUGCGGGGUAUCUAUUAUUCAAAAAAUACACUUGCACACACAUGCUUCUAGUGGCAUAAUUCACAAUAGCGAAAUUGUGGAAGCAACUUGAAACCCCAUCAAUCAGCGAGUAGAUAAAGACACUGUAAUAUAUACAUACACAAUGGAAUACUAUGCAGCCAUAAAAGGGAAUGAAUUUGCAGUUCCCUUUUAUGGCUGCAUUUGCAGGGACCCGGAUGAGACUGGAGACUAUUAUUCUAAGUAAAGUAACUCAGGAAUGGAAAAGCAAACAUCGUAUGUUCUCACUAACAUGUGGAAUCUAAGCUAUGAGGACGCAAAGGCGUAAGAAUGAUACGAUGGACUUUGGGGACUUGCGGGGAAGAGUAGGAGGGGGUGAGGGAUAAAAGACUACAAAUAUGGUGCUGUGUAUACUGCUUGGGUGAUGGGUGCACCAAAGUCUCAUGAGUCACCACUAAAGAACUUACUUAUAUAAGCAAAUACCACCUGUAUCCCAAUAACUUAUGGAAAAAUAAAAUAAAACAAAAAUAAUGCUGUGAUGAAUUCAUUUGUGCACAUAUCUCAUGGUUUCCUUAGACUGUAAUCCUAAAAGCAGAAUGGCUGGAUAAAAGACUAUGUACAUUUUUCAGCUCUUUGAGCUAUAUUACUAAAUUGUCCUCCAGAAUAUUAUUUCAAUUUAUACUUAGACCAGUGUGUGCUGCUGUAGCCAUUUUUGGUUCAGUAGACACCAAACUGCCGUAGGGUUGGGUGUCAGCAUCUGUCCUAUGUCUUUAAAAACAAAACAACACUUUUGCUUCCAGCUCAAGGUAUUAAUGCUUAAAAGAUUUUCCGUGUUCGAAAGGAUUUUUGUGGUGCUGGCCUGUCAGUUGACCUUUUUGAGGUGGAUAAGAAACAUUCUUCGAAACUGUGGUUGUCAUCCAAGGUAGGAAUUCUGGCACAAGAAGCUUUCCAGUUCCAUCCCUCCUUGGUGUAAUAGAAGGUAACUUACAACCCGAGUCACAUUAAGCCCCUAAUAUAUGUGACCUGGUGUUCCAGACCACAUCUUCUGUCUCCAGAGAGGGUUUUGUUUUUUGUGGCACAUCGAUCUCCCAUCACACUCCAUAGCCACACUUCACAGUCCACAGUUUCAGCAGCUAGACUAAAAAAGCCUUUUGGCACAAAGCAUAGGUUUCCAGCAUCAGGGAAGCCUUCUGGGGUGACCAUGUAGGGAAAGGGAGGUCUGGUGUUGAAGCCAGGCAGCCUUGGACAUGAAUCCCAGUUCUAUCUAUUGCUGGUUUUCUAUCUUGUGAGGUCAUGUAACUGCUCUGCCUUCACUUUCUCGUCUGUAAAGUGGAAAUUUUUUGUAGCUAGCUCAGAAAUUCUUGGGAAGAGUAGUGACAUGGCCCAGCAGAUGCUGAGUCUAGUCCCUAGCACUGAGCAGGUAUUGGAUAAACAGUGCAUUACUGAAAAAUGAAGCUGGAGAGUGGGAGAGGGUCUGCGGAAUUUGAGGGACUUCUGCCCUCUGCACUUCAGCUCUAUAAACUCUGAGACCCUAUAGUCUCAGAGUUAAUCACAACUUAAUACACCAAAUUAAUCACAGCUCUUUAUUUAAGAAGGAAGAAAUCAUGGUGAGUUUAAUUUUCCAAUCUCAUUUUAUGUGGUCAGCUCUCAAGUAGAGGAAGAUAAUCAUGGGAGAGGUAUGCUGCAGGGCCUGUCUUCUGCAGGUGUCUUUCUCACUAGCUGAAUGUACCACCUGAAACUUACAGCAUGCAUCUUGUUAUUGCUAAGAGGCCCUUGUGAAAAUACAGAUAUCUUCAAUGGAAGCUGUUAGAUGUUAACACAGACUCUGGAGUCAGAUGACCUGGGGAUAAAUUCCAUCUCCCCCACUUGUUAACUAUGUGACUUUGGACACGUUACUUCACAUCUCUGUGUCUCAGUUUCUUUACUUGAACAAUGUAAAUAGUAGUGUUGAGGGAAGAAUAGAUGAGAUAAUGUCUGGGAAGUUAUAAGUGCUCAAUUAAAGUUAACUAUUGUUAGUAGCUAAUACUAACCCUGAGAAGAAGGGGUAGGUGGUGAUAUGACUCCACUGAGAAUAAACUUAAGUUUCUCCUUCAACCAGGUGAGUUUCCAUAGGCUUUGCAAAAUAGAUGCUAUUUCACAGAUGAGGGCAACUAAACCUCAGAGAGAUUAAUUGGUUCUGAGUCACACAGCUUCAUCAGGAUGCCCUGAAGAAAACAGGAUAUAAUGCAUACCCUCCUUUAGCUGUGCCCCCAAUAACCUCCUGAAUAAUUUCUGGCUUCCUAAGAGAGAGCUAAUAGUGGUAGCCCCUGAAAUCCACCUGCACCCUCUCCCUGAGGUAGUCUGUAGUGGACAGCUCCCGAAUGCUUUCCAUUUUGAGGAAAGACAGCCUGAAGAUCAACUUGCAAAACCAAGGUCAGAUGCCAAACCCAGAGGCCAUAUGGAUGUCACACCUCGGUUCUUAUGGUGAUGACUUGGCAUGUAGAGAUGAAAAAAAUCAUCUCCAAGACGACGUAGGUGACUUAUUUACAGAUGAUUAAUCCCAUUGUAGACCACUGCCGAAUCAGCUUCUGGCCUCACGCCUGGUGACAUGGGGAAAAUACCACUGCUUCCGCGUCUUGGGUACAUUUCCAUCUGCCGGGCAUUCUCUGGGUUCUUGGGAGAGGUGAGUCAACAGUCUGUCAAUACUAUGGAUUUAGUGUCUUGAUGUGGGUUCUAAUGAGAGAGUUCUUAUAACGUUUCACACAUUCCCACUCACACUAGCCACAAUGGUAAUAUCAAACCCAGAGCCCAGAAACAGGAACUUGCUUUCUCCCAGCUUUAGAUUUCCCCCUAAUAUGAUCAGAGAAUUCUUGUUUCAUUCAACAUGUUGUUCAUUAGUGCCUACUCUGCAGCAGACACUGCCCCAGAAUAGAAGAACGUACACUUACAGAAAAUUUGCUAUGAUCUUGAAGAAACGGAGCUCAGACAAUAAUUCCAAUAAUAUCUCCUGUUUAUGAAGUAUUUACUGUGUGCUAGUUACUGUACCAGGAAUGUCACAGUUUAUCCUCCCCAAAGCCGUUGGCUGGAGGUCCUAUGGUUAUCCCUAUUUUUCUCUUAGUGAAGACAAAACACAAAGAGGUUAAGAAGCUUUCCCAGGAUGGCACAGCUGGGCAAGUGGCGGAGUUGACUUUACCCAAGUACAGUCGUUUCUCAUUAUUUGUGGCAGUUAUCUUCUGUAAAGUGGCUAUGAGCACUGAAUAAGUGAAUAUUAAACAGUUGCUCCUAGAGGAAAUACAUGGUUAGAUUCCUUUGAGCCUCCAGUCAACAUGUAACCUGUUUUAACUGUGUUUUGUUUAAACACAUCUUAUUCAAUAUGUACUUUUGACUCAUUAACAUUGAACGUAUAGCCAACAGCACUGUGACCCAUGCCCAAAUGAAGCUCCUCUUACACAUAUGUUUUGUCUGUAAGGCCCAAAUGAAGCUCCUCUUACACAUAUAUUUUGUCUGUAAGGCACACAGCAGCCUUCUACUUAGGAUCACUUCAGCACUAUGCUUUGGGACCAUUUUAAACCGCAAAAUCACCAAUCUAAAGCAUAAAAAUGAGAAAAAAUACAUGGGACACUAAAUAGACCACAAAAGGGACACUUGUUCUCAGUCUGAGUGCUGAAACGAAAAAGCAGAGGAUCACAUUGUUGUCCCACCUCAGCUAGGAAUGCUUGUGUUGAGUGUUGAGUGACUCAACUGCUCUAAGAAUCCUGCAAGUGAACACAAAUGUGCCAGGAGUGUUGAUUUGAAAGUUACAAAUAAAUUUUAGCCUGUAGGGAAAUUUCAUUCAUAAAGAGGAUUGACUACAGUCUUAUUCCAGAGCAUGUUUUUACUCUUCUUCACACUUUACCCUGUUGUGGUCAGCAGCCUCUAAGAUCUUCCUGAUGAAUGAAAACCAGGAGAAGCCCACCUCCUGGUCUUCAUUCCCUUGAUAACAUCCUUGGUAAUGCCAGUGCCCUCGAGUAUGUGCCAGACUAAGUGACUCAUUUCUAAUGAAUAGAAUGUGGUAUAAGUUCAUAGAAUAUCACUUUUAAGGUUCAAUUACAAAAAAAACUAUAACUUCCAUCUUGGACAUUCUUUCUCUUUUGUCAGUUCUCUGGGAAGCUUGCUGUCAUGUUUUGAGCUGCCCUAUGGAGAAACCAACAUGACUAGGAAUAUGAGAGAGCCAGCAGGACAAUGAGGCCCUCAAUACAGCAAGAAACCAAAUUCUGCCAACAACCAUAUAAAGCAACUGUUCAUCAGAGAGGUGGAGUAACUUGACCAAGUUCUCAGAUUCUAAAGACCAGGACUCCUCAUGAAUCUGUCAGCUCCCCUCAUUCCAGCUCUGGGUCUCUGUGUCACCACCACUGCCACCUCGUCAUUAUCCUAUUUCAUGCCUGUCACUGGACUAAAAACCUUACAGUCUUUAUCACAUUUAAUUUUUCCAACGAUACCAAGAGGCACUCGCAUCUCUACCCCAGCAGCAGCAUCUUAGAGGCAGUGAGAACUCUAUCUUAGAAGACAGCCUUCAGCCCUGGGUUGAAAAGAGGAGUCUAGAACACCUUUCAAGUGGAAUAUUGGGACUGCAAGUUGCACAGCUCACUAUCCGCCUAGGCUGAUGUCCUUGGGUGUUCCUUGACCACAGAGGAGAGGACAGGAGUGGCUUCUCUUUAGGAAGCAGGGGUAAGUUUCCAGAGGAUUCCUUCCAACAUGCUGUUUCCCAUAAGUUCGCUUUCACAUGCUCCCUUAUUUCCCAAACUGAAACUGUGACAUUGUGCCAACUUGGCUGUAGGGAGCACAAAGCAGAAAACCAAGCAAAACCAACAGGGCAGAUGGUGAGAGCUGGGGGUCCCUAACACUGGGGACUUAGUGGUGAAAAUCCCAGAUCUUUCUCCACUGAACUAAGCUUGAGGUGUAUGUCUGCAUGUCAAAGAGGCUUAUCGAAAAUGGUGACUGGAAGAUCCUUCCUUUCUAGGCACUUAAAAUGUCUGAAUUUUGCUUCCUUAUCAGCAAAACAAGCAGAGGUAAAUGGAAAGUAAAUGUUAAGCUGCAUAAAGAGCCAACAGAAUUAAAUAUAGAUGAGUGACCUAAUUCUAGCAUCCUCACCCCUGACUUUCUACUUCAUUUCUUUUUGGUUUCCUUAUGAGGCUACCACUUUAUCUGCACAAGAAAGACUUUGGUUAAUGACUUUGGACUCCUUUGGGUCUUCUGACCUUGGAACUAGAUUUAUGUUCACAAAAGAGAGAGACCAAGAAGAAAAAAAAGGCAGGAAACUGGGAAUUGGAGUGUCCGUUGAGAAACAUACUUCUUUGUCAUUUUUGGAAGGCUCAUUGUUUAAGUUUGGAAGUCUAAGGCCAUUGGUGGAUUGCAUUACGUUUGCGGCAUGGCUUUGGGAUAAUAAGUGGAACCCACUAAUGAUGGGCUUUCCAAAUGACUCAGAUUUAUUAUAAAAUUAUUGGAUAUAACAAAAGAUUAUCCAACAUGAAACUAUCUAAUCUGAUUAAAUCAAACUUUUUAUUAAGAUAUACCACAACAUAGACACGUACACAUUCAUUUGGGAGAGAAGAGGCCACAGCACCCCAAUCUUUAUACAGAGUACUGUGAUGGCUUAUGUGGGUGUGGCUUGAAGUUCUGGAUGCUCUCUCGCUCAGAAGGCACCUGGACCAGUGCUGAGGAUGGGAUCUUGGAUGAGAGCCAGAGUUCCCAGUCCAAGACUGCCCCUUCAAGCACCAGGACAGUGGAAGCAAGUGUCGUGAAGCCAUGGAAGCUCAGGGCUCUUAUGCUCGGCAAACCCUCCUGGAUAUGACCAGCGUGCAUGCUGGCUCUACCACCCCCACCUAUCAGACUGCAGACUUUACAUUUACACAAAUCAGGCAAUCCUAAUGUGUUGACCCUGAUACUAUGCAGUGGCACUCACUGGGACAUUGGCAGCUCUACUGGAUUGAUACGAUAAAGUAUCAUGAGACUCAGAGUCAUAAUUGAACACAUACACCAUAUUGUGCAGAGGUCAUGCAUCAAACUGAGUCAAAAAAAUUAUUUUUUCACUACUUUCGUGUUGUUUUUGCCCUACAGUGGGUUGGUUGGUUUGCUUCUUUCUGACACUCACAUUUUAAAACAAUGAAAUUUUACAUGACAAUGCAAUUUCUGGUUUUGUGUGUAUGCAUGUGUUUUUUUAAACAGAAGAUAUAGGUUUCCUAGGCCCUCAUUAUCACACACCAAACAGGAGCAGACAUUUGCUUUCCAUUUGGCUCCUGUUUCUACCUGGCACAGUGUCCUGUGCCUGCAGGCAUGUCACUCUGCUACCUUGAUUUGGAAGCCUAGAUUCUCCUACAGUCUCAGGUCCAGACUGGUGAUGUCCAAGAUUCCAUUUAAGGAAGGACCUUCCCAGUGACCUUCUCUACCCUUUCCAGAUGGUAGAUCUGUGUCUGUGGCGGGACUUGGCAUACCAUGGAGAGACUGUGAAGAGAUCCCACAACUUCCUUAAUAUGAGGGCAGAAGUGCUAGAAAGCCCCAUGAGUAAAGGGGAAAUGUCUUAGUCCAUUUGUGUUUUAAACAAAAUACUUUAGACUGGGUAAUUUAUAAACAACAGAAAUGUAUUGCUUACAGUUCUGGAGGCGGGGAAGUCCAAGAUCAAAACACCAGCACAUUCAGUGCUUGGGAAGGCCCUAUUCCUCAUUGGUGGCCCCUUCUAAGUGUCCUCACAUGAUGGAAGGGCAAAGCAGCUCUCUGUGGCUCUUCAAUGAGGCACUAAUCUCAUUCAUGAGUACAGAGCCCUCGUGACCUAAUUACUUCCCAAAGGCCCUGCCUUCUAGUAUUAUCAGCUUGAUGAUUAGAUUUUACUGUAUGAAUUUUAGGGGGACACAACAUUCAGACAAUGGAAGGAGGGGAAUCCUCAGCUUUUCUUCUUUUUCUUUUUCUCUUUUUUUGAGAUGGAGUCUUGCUUUGUCACCCAGGCUGGAGUGCAAUGGUACGAUCUGGGUUCAAGCAAUUCUCCAGCCUCAGCCUCCUGAAUAGCUGAGAUUACAGGCACCUGCCACCACACCUUGCUAAUUUUUGUAUUGUUAGUAGAGACAGGAUUUUGUCAUAUUGACCAGGCUGGUGGCAAACUCCUGACUUCAGGUGAUCCUCCUGCCUCAGCCUCCCAAAGUGCUGAGAUUACACAUGUGAGCCACUGCAUCUGGCCCCCUCAGCUUUUCUAUCGCAAAAGCUUAUUGGUAAUUUUCUCCUCUAACUUCCUCAUUCAUAGAUGUGAAAACACAACCCAGAAAAGUUCCAUGGUUGUUCCAAAGUCCUACACCUAGUGAGCAGUAGAUCCAAGAUGAAGAUUUAGGUCUUCUGAUACUCAGCCCAGAUGAUUUCCCUGCUCCUUUCCCCUUGCCAGUGCGUUAUUCUGGGAUGAAGCCAUCACUCUGUCUGCCCUCCCAGCAGAGGCUUCUUCAUUUGUUUUCACUUUCUCCCUGCUGGUCAGUGGUCUUGAAUUUUACAAGUACUGCAAGUGUGAAUUGCCUUGUGUUACAUCUCUUGGUUGGAGUCUAUGGCAGUCAAUAUUUUCUCAGGAUGGUAUCUCUCAGCAAGACUCAAGCCAAUAAGUGGCAAGCAGGCAAUCAACAAGGACUUAUUAAUCCCCUGAUCUUUGUUCAGCACCACAGGCUUUCUGAAGAACUACUACAUUUUAUUCCUUCUGGAGCAAGUAACAGACACCCUUGUCAGAGUUGCUUAAGCAAAGGAAGAAUUUGUUAACUCCGGAAUACAUUAUCAAGUCAAGGGAAAGGCAGGGCCACCGCUGGGCCUUGGGACAACUAGAAGUAGAACUCCAACAAGAUCAGUAUUCUUCUCUGUUUAGAUCUCACAUCUGCUUUUUACUGUUUGUUGGGUUCAGUCUCCAUAUGGUAGAAAAAUGUCCACCAACGUUUCCUGAUGUAUCAUUUCUAUUUUGGCCAUGGGAGAGAAAACGACUUCCUCAUUCUGGGUCCUCCAAGCCUAUGGAAAUUCUCUGACUGGUCUCACCUAAAUCAGGUGCCUAUUCCUGAACCAAUCAACUAUGGGGGGGAUGGAAGCGGAGGAGAUACUCAGGUCAAUCAGCUGUGACCUGAGGUGGUCCCUCUUGUACUAAGAGAACAGCUUCCACCGUAACUGUGGAAGUGGAAUGGGUUGAAGGUGCAGAAGACUAUCUCAGAAAAAGAAAAGUAAAGAAGGGGGAGAGUCUUAGGAAGACUAAACACUGUAUCCAGUACAUCUGCAUAUAGGAUUUUAUAAUUGAAUAGGGAGUUAAGAAUUACAUAUAGAAACAGCAGUAAUAAAAGACUUGUUUUACUGAUCAUGAGAUGAAUCAGGGCUCCUUAUAGGGGCCUGCUGGGUUUCUCCACCCCAAUCAAAGCAUGAAAAUAAAGAAAGAUUUGAGUCCUUUCAAGGGAAAGUCUAUGUACCUAGCUUGCUCUGCCACCAGCAAUUAAGGAAGUGAGUGAGUAACCCACUAAGCAAGAAGCUUAAACAAUAGUCACUCAAAUAAGUUAGAGUCACAUGAUGUCUGCUUUCCUGGAGAAACAAAAGCUAACAUCUUACCAUAUGUUCUUGAGUUGUUUUCAGAAAUCUCGACCCCUCCACCAGAUGUAAAAUGUUGACUUCUAUCAUGUAGACUUCAGAAAAUUGUGAACUAAGUACUUAACUCCAACUACCAUUCUCUGUUCUAUCUUUUUUUUCCCCCUAAGGAGCCAGGAGAGAGUCACACCCAUAGGCCAAACCUUAACAUUCCUUUCUGCUGACCCCAAGUUUUUGGACAAAGCUUUGCUUCCUUAACCAAUUGCAAAUCAAAAAAGUCUACCUAUGACCUGUAAGCUCUCACAUCAAGAUGAAACUACCACGGCAAAACUAUAACUGAGACAGUGAAAGAGAUCUGACUUAACCAACUCCAUUUUGCUUCUAACCUACAAGGUGUCCUUUUUUAUUGCUGGGGACAGGCUGAACUAACUUUGGGAGGAAUUUAGUUUACAGUUUAUAGUUUAGAACAAAGACAAUAACAGCCCUUUCCAAAAACAAACCCCCUUCUUGCUUGGGGAGUAGACUGCCUUUGUAGGACUAACAAAGUAGCCAAAAGAUUAGAAAUUAUGGUUUAGCAGUCAUGCAGCUGAAGGCUACAAGAUUCUGACCCUUCCCAAAUUGCUCCUGGGGAUAACAUCACUAUGAUAAGGCUAAGAUCAGUGUUUGAGACAUUUUGCAGAUUUUUUGCUCAGUGGAUCAGCUGGUACCACCCAGAUUAAUAAACUAGUUUAUCUGAUCUUGUGCUACCCUCUGUACCCCACCCCCGCCUGGAACUGACUCAGUGCAGCUUCGAUUCCCUAUGAUUUCAUCUCAACCCAACCAGUCAGCAUUCCUGACUCACUGGCUGCACCCCAUCCACAAAUGUUCAGGAGACUGAUUUAAGUAAUCAUAAAAAUGUAGUGUCCUGUACAGCCAGCUCUACAUGAAUUACUCUUUCUCUAUUGCAAUUCUCCUGUCUUGAUAAAUUGGCUCUGUCAAGGCAGUGGGUAAGGUGAACCCUUUAGGUGGUUACAAAGAUACUCCCCUUUUUUAAACCAAACCAACGUAUAACCAAGGGGUAUCAAGUUACAAUUUCCCUGUAACUUCUCCUUUCUUGAAAUAUAGCCCUACCUUUAAAAACAAUUCCCUGUAAGUAACUGGGGAGUUUGUGUCAUAAUCAUCAGCUGCCUGAUUCUUCCUGCUUGACGCCCUGCAAUAAAUGCCCCACUUUCUCUUGCAGCAAAUCCUGGUGUCAUUGUUUGGCUUUUUCAGUGCACCAGGCAAGCAGACCCAAGUUCUAUUCAGUACUAAUUAUUAGAAAUAAAUGUGCAAAAUGGGCUGGUAUUAUCAAGAAUGACACCAUCUAGUGCUGGCUUUUUAAAAUUGAAAUAGUGGAUUAGAAGAAACUUAAACAUGAUUCUUUCUCCAGGAGUUUCAAUUGUACACAAAAUAAGGGGGAGUGUAUUAAAAGCAGCACAAAACACAGAAAUAUAGGGAAUGGUACAAAAUUUGUAUGAUGCUUAAAAUACAGGUACAAUUUUUAAAAUAAAAAAAAAAUUCAAGCUUUUUGGCCAAGCAUGGUGGCUCAUGCCUAUAAUGCUAUCACUUUGGGAGGCUGAGGUGGGUGGAUCACCUGAGGUCAGGAGUUUGAGACCAGCCUGGCCAACAUAGCAAAACCCUGUCUCUACAAAAAAUACAAAAAUUAGCCAGGAGUGGUGGCAUGCUCCUGUAGUCUCAUUUACUCAGGAGGGUGAGGCAGGAGGAUCCCUUGAACCCAGGAGGUGGAGGUUGCAGUUAGUUGAGAUUCCACCACUGCACUCCAGUCUGGGUGGCAGAGUGAGGCUCUGUUUUAACAACAAAAAAAGAAAAAUUCCAGCUUUUUGGCCUGGGACUUCAGUCUUCUUCUCAAUACACUCUAGUGCCCUAGUAAAACUGAUGGAGAAGUUUUAAAAGUUUGGAGGGUAAGUGGAAGGAAGUUCUUGAUAAUUGUUAUCAAGAAGCUGUGUGGUUUUAGAAUACUUUGCUCCUCUGAGCUAAAAGAACUUGAGGUUGGUGAGGAUGAAUGAUACAGCCUGUACAAGGGGAUUCCCGAACUCUCUCUGGCAAUAACAUUCUGUGUAGGUUUUGUUUUGUUUACUUUGGAAAGCAGUAUAUAAGCAAUAGAGCUGCAAACUAGAUGAGGUUGAAUUAGUUUAUAGUGCUUUUACCUCAGUUCCUGUAUCUAAAGACUGUCCUUGUGAUUAGCAUAAUACCUUCAGUACUUUCUAGGAAAAUGCUGCUUAAGUAAUGCAAAUGAGUAAAGCUGUUUUGCUAAUUAGGGGGACUAGACUGAAGAAUGUCAGGCCUCAAAUAGGACAAGAGAAUAAAGAGAGAGUGGAAGUAGUUGAAAUGAGGUCAGUGAAGGUGGGAGGCCCUUGGGUAGCUGUUGGGUAGCUGCCUGAGGGGUAGUUGAGCCUACAAAGUAGGUUUGGAAACAUGAAGGUGAUCUUCUCCCUGGGAUAGCUGGCAGUACUGACUUUGCACUAGGCUUUUCACAUCUAUUCCAAUGGAGGCCACACUCUCCUUAUGUAGGACACAUCUUCCCACUUGUGUUCUAAACACCUCCCUUUCUCCCUUGUCUUGGAUCAGUUGACUUCUAGUAAAUAUCACUUAUCUUGUAUAUUCCUGACCUCUGUGUCCUGGUUGGUAUCUUCCAUCAAUAUUGUAUUAGCUUGUCUUCACACUGCUGAUAAAGACAUACCCGAGACUGGUUUACAAAUUUACAAAAGAAAGAGCAAUUUACAAAAGGAGAUUUAUUGGACUUAUAGUUCCACAUGGCUGGGGAGGCCUCACAAUCAUGGUAGCAGGCAAGGAGGUGCAAGUCACAUCUUACAUGGAUGGCAGCAGGCAAAGAGAGAGCUUGUGCAGGGAAACCCAUUUGUAAAACCAUCAGAUCUCAUGAGACCCAUUCACUAUCAUGAGAACAGCACAAGAAAGACCUGCUUCCAUCAUUCAAUGAUCUUCCUUUCAGUCCCUCUCAGAAUACAUGGGAAUUAUGGGAGCUACAAGAUGAGAUUUGGGUGGGGACACAGACUCAAACCAUAUCAAAUAUUAAAGAUGCUAAGUCCCUUCCCAUAUUAAACACCAGACAAUAACACCACUGACUUGAUGUCAGCCCCUCAGUAGUGGAAUUCUAUUUCCUGCCAUUUACAGCCAAGCUUCUUGAAGUAUCCAUACUCUGUUAUCACUUCCUUACCUCCCAUUCAGGGACCAACACAGCAAUUAUUUGCCUAUUUCCAUUAUUGUAUGGAAAUUCCUCUCUAUGAGGUUACUAAAGACAUAUUUGUUCCCAGGUCCAGUGGAUAUGUCUUCACCUUUGAUCUCACUUGACCUCUGAGAAGCAUUUAACUCCUUGAAUCUUCUAGAAAUUCUCUUCUGGUCUCCAUGGCAUCCUAUUCUUCUGGCAUUUGGUCCUCCUAAGUCUGUCUCUUUUUGCAACCUUUUUCUUUUUCUCAUCUCUGUUCUUUCUCCUAUGUCAGGGAGAAAAAACUUUUUCUUAUACUCUCUUAGAUUCAGUAUCUGGGCCCAGUGAAUUAAACUAAUAAGGGAGGGAUUAACAGAAGGAAAGGUACAAUUUUUAUUUAAUAUUUACAUGCCCAGGAGUUUACAGAAAAGAAGCAAAACUCAAAAAAGCAGUUACAUUCAGGGGCUUAUAUACCAUUUUAUCAAAAGUAAGGAGACUUGGGUUUCAAAGGAUGAUAAAUUAUAGAAACAUGACUAAGAAAUAUAUGGGGAAAUUAAUGGAAAAUAAAGAUUGUUUUAGUAAGGUCUAGUUAUACACAUUUGUUUUGGUGUUGACUCUGAAACUCCAGUGAUAAGUAUGCCCUUGUCAUCCUGGCAUGAAGGGGCACCUUCCCCAAUGGGAAAUGUAUUCCCUGUUUUUAGGCUGAUAAGGGGAGGGCAGAAAACUUCCCUGCAUCUGUUGAUUCUCAGUUGCCUUCAGCUCAAAAUAAUCUUUGUGCAAAAGUGGCCUAUCUUGAGGUGGCACAUUCUGAUUCCCUUUACCUGCAUUAUCAGUUUUUCUCAAUAUUCAACAAUUCCAGAUAACACACAACUCAACUACUAUUUCUCUCAACUUAAAAGAAAUCCUCUCUUGACCCCUGUCCCCAAUUUGGCUUCCCACCAUUUCUCUCUUCCAUUUACAGAAGACUCCUGGCAAGAAUUAUCUACAAUGCUCAGCUUCUCUUCUCACUUCUCUCUUGAGCUCUCUCUAGUCAUGCCUUUGCUCCUGAUUCCCCACCAAAAUAGCACAUAUCAGACUACAAGUUGGAUAUGCUAAAUGCUUCUCAAACUUAAUUUAUCCAAAACUGAACUCUCCUGUCCCACACUUGCUCUAGCCACCAUCUUUCCCAAUUCAGGGAUAGCAAUCCCAGUCUUAAUUUGUUCAAGCCAUCACCUUGACAUCUUUAUUCUUUCUUUCAUACCCCACAUUUAGACUCCUCAUAUUCUGUUGGCUGUGCUAUUGACUGAAUGUUAUGUCUCCCCGAUCCCACCCAGAUGUCUAUGUUGAAGCCCAAUCUUCAAUGUGAAGGUGGGGACUAUGGGAGAUAAGAAGGUUUAGAUGAGGUUGCGAGGGUGGAGCCCCCAGUGUAGGAUUGAUGUCUCUCUCUCUCAGUUAGUCUCUGUGUAGAGACUUCAAUCCUACCUUUUCCCUUGGCACUGCCCUAGUAGAGUAUCUCUCUAUGGGCUCUGCCUCUACCGCUGGCUUUGGCUUGGGCACCCAGGCUUCCCAUACAUCCUUUGAAAUCUAGGUGGAAGCCACCAAGCCUCCUUUGCUCUUGCAUUCUGUGUACCUACAGGCUUAACACCAUAUGGAAGCCUCCAAGGCUUAUGAUUUGUGCCCUCUGGAGCAGUGGCCUGAGCUAUGCCUAGAGUCUUUUGAGCUGUGGCAGAGCCAGAGUAGCCAGGAUGUUGGGAUCAGUGUACUGAGGUUGUACAGGGGAUCAGGGUCUUGGGCCUAGCCCACCAAACCAUUAUUUCCUCCAAGGCCUCUGGGUCUGUAAUGGGAGGAGCUGCUUCAGUGAUUUCUGAAAUGGCUUCAGGGUCUUUUCCCCAUCAUCUUGGAUAUUAGCACCUGGUUCCCUUUUUGUCAUAUGAAUCUCUCUAGUCAGUGGUUGUGCUACAGCUCUUCUCUCCUGAAAUGCUUUCUCCUUCUCUACCACAUGGCCAGGUAGUAAAUUUCUUAAGUGGUUAUCCUCUGCUUCCCUUUUAAUUAUAAAUUCUAACUUUAAGUCAUUUCUUCACUCCUAUAUCUGAUCCUAGGUUGUUAGAAGCAGCCUGCCAGCUCUUGAAUGCUUUUCUGCUUUAUUCUGUCAGAUAUCCACGGUCAUCAGUCUUAAGUUCAACCUUCCAUAAAUUCCUAGGGCAUGAACACAAUGUAGCCGAGUUCCUUGGUAAAGUACAGCAGUGGUGAUGUUUGCUCAAGUUCCCUGUAAGUUUCUCAUUUCCAUCUGAGACCUCAUCAGCCCAGCCUUUAAUGUCCAUAUUUCCAUCAACAUUUUGGUCACAACCACUUAACUAGUCUCUAGGAAACUCCAAACGUUCCCUUAUCUUCCUGUCUUCUUUUGAGUCCUCCAAACUCUUCCAACCUCUGCCCAUUACCCAGUUCUAAAGCUGCCUCCACAUUUUCAGGUACUUUUAUAGUAAUGCCCCAUUCUUUGGUACCAAUUUUAUGUGUUAGUCUGUUUUGCAUUGCUGUAAAUGAAUAUCUGAGACUGAAUGAUUUAUCAAGAUAAUAGGUUUAUUUGGCUCAUAGUUCUAUAGGCUGUACAAACAUAACAGUAGCUUCUACUCAGCUUUUGAUAUGGCCUUAGGAAGAUUUUACUCAUGGCAGAAAAUGAAGGUGGAACAAGUGUGUCACACGUCAUGUGAUGAAGCAAGAAAAAGAAGAGGAGAUGCUAGUUUCUUUAAACGGCUAUCACUCUCAUGAACUAACAGAAUGAGGACACACUCAUUACCUCAAAGGCACAAAGCCAGUCAUGAGGGAUCCACUACCAUAACCCAAACCCUUCCUCUUAGACCCACCUCCAAUAUUGGGGAUCACAUUUCAACAUGAAAUCUUGAUGGGAAAAAUAUGCAAACCAUGUCACUUUAUAUACUCAAAUUAAUUUUCUUAUAAGGAAUUUCAUGUCACUGUUAUUAAUGGAAAAAAAAAGCAGUACAAUUUGCUAUACAGGAAAGGUAUGGCUCAACACAUUUACAAUAAAUACAUAGCCGUUAGAUAAAAGCAUACUUCUAUAUAAUCUAAACUCAAUUUAGCACCAAUGGUAUUGAAAUGACAUUUUGGGAAACAUUUCCAUAGAUGCCCAUAUUUCUUGGGGUUCUGCCCUAGAUCGUCUUUUCAUAUGCUUCCCAUGGGCAAACUCAUCAACAGCAAAUAACCUCAAUUUCUUCAUUGUUCCAACAACAAUUCUCUGAUGACAACCGGUGUCUUGCAAUUUAAUUCAAUUCUGACACUACCCAGAGUUAGCACAGAUCCCACGAAUUAAGAACAACAUCCUUCACAAGAUUGCCCCCACUUUAGAAACUAAACAUCAGUCUCAGUCAGCCGUGACUGACUAGCUACAAAUUCAGGGGUUUCUAUGACUCCCUCUGGUUCAGUAAUUUGCUAGAACAAGUCACAAACUCUCUGAAAGUGCUAUUCUUAUCAUUACAGUUUUAUUAUAAAGGAUACAGCCUAGGAACAGCCAAACAGAAGAUGCACAUACGACAAGAUUGUGAGAGGGGUAAGGAUCCUGAGCUUCUCUGCCCUCUCCUCUAGGAAUCCAGGUGUAUUUGUCUCCCAGCACAUCAGUUGUUCACCAACCAGGAAGCUCCUUUGAGCCUUGGUUUCCAGAGUUUUCACUGGGGCUUCAUCAGAUUGAUCAGAUUGUUGAUGACUGAUUAAAUCAUGAUUGAUUAAAUUACUGGCCAUGUUGUUGAGCUCAAUCUCUAACCUUAUUUCUCUCACUUGAUGCUGGGCUGGCAGCCUAAAGUUCUAACCCUCUAAUCACGUGAUUGGUCUUUCUGGUGACCAGCCCCCAUCCUAAACUAGGAACCCACCAUGAGUCAUCCCAUUAGCAUAGCAAAGAUAUUGUUGUUACUCAAGGUUUUAAAAUUUUUGUGCCGGGAACUGGUACAAAGACCAGAUAUAUUCUUUAUUAUAUCACAUAUAUAUAUGUGUGAAUCACACACACACACACAUAUGAAUCUCAAAUUUAUAUCUCAACUCCUACCUCUCAUCUGAAAUUGAGACUUUCAGAUACAACUGCCACCUGGGUGUCUUUUUCAGGAGGUACCACUUGUAUCUCCAAGCCAUCAAUAUUCAUAAAUAAAUCCCCAUCACCACCCCAUCACCCUAACCAACACAUACACUCUCUUUCUCCUGUAUUUCUUCUUAGUAAAUGUAAUCGUAACACCAUUCAACCGGCUACCUGAAUCUGAACCUGUGUUUUACCCUUGUUUUUUCUUACUCACAUACAGUUUUCUUUUCUGUUUUUUUUUGGAAUGUUCCUCUUGCUUCCCCUUCUCUUUCUAUUUAUUUUGUUUUGAUCUUAGCUUAGAAGUCAUGGUUUCCAGAAAGCCUUUGCUGUUCUCCCAGGACUGGUCAGGUGCUCCUGCACUUCCAUAAUAAUGGAUGUGAUAAUUUAUUGUUUGUCUCUUUUGCCCAGUAUCUUGGUGAGGGCAGUAAUUGAGUCUAUCUUACUCGCUCUCACAUCCUUGUACCUGGCACAUAGUUGACACUCAAAAAUAUAUACCCAACAAAUGGAUAACAUGAUACAAAGUUGGAAUAUUUCAAAAUAAGACUUUUCUUGUAGAUAACUACUUUCUAUAGCAGUAAUUUAUGAACUUCCCAGUAGAGGUUGCCUUGGUAUCAUCUUCUUUUGAGAAUUAAGUAAUUUGUGUUUGUUCAUAAUAACAGGCUUCUAAGUAUAUUUAUUCCUACCUUCAUUCUUUGGAUAUUUAUUGAAUAUCUACUAAAGUGAGAAGCAGUGUCCUAGUCCUUAGGGCUGGAAAUGAGUGAAAACAUAGUCACACAGUCUACUGAAGAAUUACAUCUUUAUAUAAGCACAAUUGUAAUAAAAUAUCAUGGGUCCUAUAAAAAAUGUAUGAGCAACAUACUGCAGGAAAUAUUCAGUGUGAUUAUAUUGAAUUAUAGUUUUCAACUCAUUAUUCCUUUCCAUAAAGGAUUAUACACUCACACCCUCUGCCACGUACUUUCUAGUGCCUGUCACAAUAGUAACCAGAAUAUACAUGCCUGCCCCCACUUACUUACUCGGGCUAGGCUAUGUGACUUGUAUUGGCCAAUGAAUAUAGGCAGACGUAAAAUGAAAAUGCACCACUUCUGAGCAGACACUUUAAGAGACAGCAAGUUUCUGUCAGACAUCUCAAACUUUUGACCUUGGGUGUAAGGCAUAUGUUCCAGGUAACCAUUACUCUUUCAGAGUCCUGGAAUAAAGACAUAUAAAGCAGGCAUAAAUCCAAAUCACAGAUUGCCAUCUAACCUAGCCCAGCUGAGCAAAGCCAAUUCACAGACAACCUAUAUCCAUCCCUAUCAACAUUGAUUUGAUUUUUUUUUGUUUUGUUAGCUAUUGAGGUUUGGGAGGAGGGUUGUUGCUACAUAGAAUUAUUACAGCAGAAAUCUGCUAAUACACUGAGUAGCUAUCUAUCUACUAUGGGAGAGUAUGGGAUGUAAGGAGAAGUCUACAUGGUAUUUCUAUGUAUUUCCUAUGUAUUUCCUGCUAUGCUAUUUCUCAGGACACAAGGCCCCCAGUUCUCUGAUGGUUGUAGAUGUUUAGUUAACAUAAAUAAAAAAGCCAAUAGAAUGAGGCCAGUGGUUUGUUCCAUAUGAUGCGAAACUUAAAAAUUCAGAUGUAGUAAGAAAUAAACACAGGUCUUCUUAAAAUAUCUGACCUAGCUGAGCACAGAGGCUCGUGCCUAUAAUCCUAGCACUUUGGGUGCCCGAAUAUGGGUGGAUCAUAUGAGGCCAGGAGUUCAAGACCAGCUUGGGCAACAUAGUGAGACCUCAUCUCUACAAGAAAAAUUUGUUUUUUUAAUUAGCUGGAACUAGUGGCUUGCACCUGUAGUCCCAGCUACUCAGGAGGCUCAGGUGGGAGGAUCACUAGAGCCCAGCAGUUCAAAGCUGCAGUGAGCUAUGAUGGUGCCACUACACUCCAGCCUGGAUGACAGGGUGAGACUUUGUCUAAAAAAAUAAAGAUAAACCUGGCCUAUUUCUAGCUGAAAAAGCUACCUUAGAUUUACGGGUAUUUCUCCAACAGCUGAUUUUCAGAAUGCAAGCUAGACAUAGUGGCAUUGACCAAUUAAGGCAUACAACUUUAACUGUGCAGAACGUUAGCAUUCUGAUACAACCACUGUAUCAUUGUCAUCACUUAAAUAAGAAAAAUUUGUUUUUCAAAGCAAAGAAACACACUGCUACUUGUAAGGGUGAUGGUUUCUCAGUGUGAGUUUACUUUUGUUGACCAUUUGUAGUUUAAACUGUGCUAUGACUUAUUUUCAUUUUGCACUAACGAUGAGCAGCAAAAGUAAUAAAACUGCAUAAAAUAAACUCUCCAACUCCUAAACUGUUUUUUUUCCUUUUCAAUCAUUUUUUAAUUUGUUUUAAAUGGGAAGUGGUUGAGCACAGUGAUUAGGAAAAACCACUAUGAAUUAGACUUGUUUGAAUUAGACUUUGAACCUAGGCACCAUCAAGAAUAGUGUAAAAAUGACCUAAGCACUCAACCUGUUUCUUCAUUUGUAAAAUAAGAAUCAUAAUGGUGCUUAUCUUUAGGGCUAUGAAAUAAAGUUAACCUUGUGAGGCCUCAGCACAGUGUCUAACACAGAAUAAGCAGUCAAUAAAUGACAGAAAUUAUUACAGGAUAGAUUUUGUUAGUGCAACUUUUCUUAGGAAAGCAGCUGUUUAUUAUAGAAAGAUGAGCCAUGUAGUGGCGUUGCUUUGACUUUUACUAUUGCAAAAAAAACCUUAGGACCCAAAUUAUGAUUAAUUUAUAUGCAAUGUUUAUGAAUAGCUAAGCUUUUUCUACUUUGGUUCUGUGAGAGUAAUAAGGGUCAAAGACAGAAAAGUUGAACUCACCACAAAAUGAACACUUCCUAAACCUUAAUUUGGCUAAGAUAAAAUAGACUGGACUCUCUGGUAAUAAACUGUGGGCAAGUCUCCAGGCAAACAAGUUGUGCACUUGCAUUCUUCCACGCAUGCGAUGCUGGAGUGACAGCAGCUGUGCUGUGGAGUGGCCAUGGUCAAAUGUUCCCCAGUGAAUUUGCCAGAAAGAUAAGAACAUCCAGCAGCCUGUGUGUUGCCUGAAUAGCAGGUCACCUCAUUGUCAGAUCUCCUCAUUCCUGAUUGCAGAGUAUACUAGUGUGAACAGCCUUGGGUUUAUGGCAAAUGUGGUGGCCAAGCAAAGUUAACCCUCCUUGGAAACUGCAAAUUGAUAUUGGUAAUAAUGGUUCUGAUUUACAAGAAAUAAUUUGUUAUAAGACAUAUUUGGCUGUUUACCUUGAAAGAUCCUGCAAAGUGUGUGUCUGUGUGCAUGUGCAUGGGUGCAUAGCCAGAUAACUUAUUUAAAAUGCACAAGCAAUUAGAACUUCUAAAUAUAUGAAUCAGCCAUUUUAAAUCUAUCUCAAAUGCAUCCCCUGGAGAAAUAUAAUUUUUCCCACUUCCAGGCAUUCUGUUUCCUAGUCCUUUUACUUUCACUCAGACAUUUCAGAAAGCACUGGACUCAGAGGUUAAGCUAGGGGAAUUUACAAAUUUAUUUUUUGUAAUACAGAGCUUGAAACUUGCUCCCAUUCAAAAAAGAUAUAUACAGUCUGAAGUUCACUCAGAAAGAAGCCAUUAGUGUAAUGUGUAAUCCUAUAGCAAAGAUCAGUAUGACUCACUUGAAGCAUUAAGGAUGGCUCACACAAUAAAAAAAUCCACUUUAUUUUUUAGAAAGAAAAUGUAAGAUAUUUUGACUCUCUGAGAAAAAAAAGGAUAGGGAAUAUAUGCCAUUAUUUAAUACAUAAAAUAAAUUUUAAAAAUAUACCUAGAAAGCAUACAUUGUAGAAGGGAAGUGGGAGAGAGAGUAAAGAGAAUAAAAGAGGAGAAAUAGAAAAGGAAAGAAAGAGGCAUAGGAAGAAAGAGUGAACAUAAAAGUAUGGGCUGGAUACAGAAAAAUGCAUAAACAUGUAUUAGACGUUUUCAGAGGGGUGAAUUGCUGUCUAUUUCUCCUGUUACACUUUCUAACUCUAGGCCCAAAUCAGGACAUUUAGUUUUGGACACAUGCCCUUCGGUCUGAUGAAAUUUAUCUAUGCUUCUUUAUAUUAUUUUUAGUAGUUACUUAUAUAGAGAUUAGUAUAAUAUUUGUUCUUUAAUUUGUUACAGUCCACCUUAAAUUAUUAUCAUGCCAAUCCAUGAACAAUGUUAGAACCUUGCAACAGUACAAUGGCAUUUACCCACCCCCUCCACCUUUUGUGCUAUCUGUCAUAUGUUUUACUUGUAAUAUAUCAUAAACCAGAGAACAUAUUCUUACCUAGGUUUUAAAUAGCCAAUAGUCUUAUAAAGAAAAUUUUUAGAAUUUUCUUUUAUAUUUAUAUACAUUUUUUUCC